CGGGGCGUAGCGCAGUUGGCUUAGCGCGCUUGGUUCGGGACCAAGAGGUCGGCGGUUCAAAUCCGCCCGCCCCGACCA
Molecule: transfer RNA, 78 nt
Filed under: Candidatus Omnitrophota bacterium
Lineage: Bacteria; Pseudomonadati; Candidatus Omnitrophota
Description: tRNA-Pro
Rfam family: tRNA
About the family: Transfer RNA (tRNA) molecules are approximately 80 nucleotides in length.
Source: RNAcentral